UUGACCAGAGAAAGUCAACUAGUCAAAUUUGGGGUUGCAUAGACCCUAUCUCCUUCAAUUUUUGUCAUAUGAAAAUGAUUCCAAAAGAAACGUUACUCAAAAUGACAUUCCAAAAAACUUUAAUGUUGAAAUAUAGAGGUGGUUUUGCUUGGAAAGUCAUUUUUUAUGGUGAAAGACUAUAGGUCAUUUUGUCUGAACCCUAGUUUGGAGGUCAACUUCCCAAGGUGAUAACUUGCUCAAUUUUUAUGAGAUGAAAUCCAUUAAAUUCUAAUGAUCAAAUUCAAUACGUUUACUUCAACUUUUAAGUUUGGAUGAAGUUCAAAUUCAACAUGCAAAUUCAUGUGCCAACAAGAAACAUUUUAGGUCAUUUUGGGCCAAUACCAUUGAACAAGUGAUUUUCCUCAACUUCUAAAAUGCGUAACUCCUUCAUGCCAAAUCCAAAUGAGGUCAAAUUUAUGACUAAAUUGAAUAGGUUUGAAGGAGCUACAACUUUCAUUGAAGAACGCUUCCCAUUUGAAGUCCAUCGAAAAAGUUAUUCAAGGUGGAAAAAGUGUACAUUUGACUUGGGACUUAGAAAAUUUUAAAAUAUGUUUGAUUUCCCAAACUUUCAACUAAAUAUUCAUCAUGAUACAAGCUUCAAAUGAAAAAGCGUUCAACAUGAAAGUUGUUCCCCUUGAUCUCACCUUUCCAAACCGUCCAAGUUCACCUCAUUUGGCCAAAGUAACAAUGGACUUGCACAUGGGUGUAAGUUGAAGGACCAUUUGGAUGUUUUCCACUUCCAUUUUUCAUACACAAUUGCAUGGCCUUCAACCUUGAAUUCAGCAUGAUGCACACUCAUUUUUGGAUCAGAACACAUCAUUUCAUGGGCCUAGCACAUUACAUCAUCCUACACAUAUAUCAUCCUCCAUGAGUCCAAAAAGUCAAGAGAAUGUCAAGCUAGAAAGAUGGUUCAUGGUGGUUGACCAGAGAAAGUCAACUAGUCAAAACUGGGGUUCCAUAGACCCUAUCUCCUUCAAUUUUUGUCAUAUGAAAAUGAUUCCAAGAGAAACGUUACUCAAAAUGACAUUCCAAAAAACUUUAAUGUUGAAGUCUAGACGUAGUUUUGCUUGGAAAGUCAUUUUUUAUGGUGAAAGACUAUAGGUCAUUUUGUCUGAACCCUAGUUUUGAGGUCAACUUUCCAAGACGAUAACUUGCUCAAUUUUUAUGAGAUGAAAUCCAUUAAAUUCUAAUGAUCAAAUUCAAGAUGUUUACUUCUACUUUUAUGUUUGGAGGAAGUUCAAAUUCAACUUGAAAACGCAUGUGCCAAAAAGAAACAUUAUAGGUCAUUUUGGCCCAAUACCAUUGAACAAGUGAUUUUCCUCAACUUCUAAAAUGCAUAACUCCUUCAUGCAAAAUCCAAAUGAGGUCAAAUUUGUGACUAAAUUGAAUAGGUUUGAAAGAGCUACAACUUUCAUUAAAGAACGCUUCUCAUUUGAAGUCCAUAGAAAAAGUUAUUCAAGGUGGAAAAAGUGAACAUUUGACUUGGGACUUAGAAAAUUUUCAAAUAUGUUUGAUUUCCCAAACUUCCAACUGAAAAUUCAUCAUGAUACAAGCUUCAAAUGAAAAAGUGUUCAACAUGAAAGUUGUUUCCCUUGACCUCACCAUUCCAAAACGUCCAAGAUCACCUCAUUUGGCCAAAGUAACAUAGGACUAGAGCAUGGGUGCAAGUUGAAGGACCAUUUGGAUGUUUUCCACUUCCAUUUUUCAUACACAAUUGCAUGGCCUUCCAACUUGAAUUCAGCAUGAUGCACACUCAUUUUUGGAUCAGAACACAUCAUUUCAUGGGCCUAGCACAUUACAUCAUCCUACACAUAUAUCAUCCUCCAUGAGUCCAAAAAGUCAAGAGAAUGUCAAGCUAGAAAGAUGGUUCAUGGUGGUUGACCAGAGAAAGUCAACUAGUCAAAACUGGGGUUCCAUAGACCCUAUCUCCUUCAAUUUUUGUCAUAUGAAAAUGAUUCCAAGAGAAACGUUACUCAAAAUGACAUUCCAAAAAACUUUAAUGUUGAAGUCUAGACGUAGUUUUGCUUGGAAAGUCAUUUUUUAUGGUGAAAGACUAUAGGUCAUUUUGUCUGAACCCUAGUUUUGAGGUCAACUUUCCAAGACGAUAACUUGCUCAAUUUUUAUGAGAUGAAAUCCAUUAAAUUCUAAUGAUCAAAUUCAAGAUGUUUACUUCUACUUUUAUGUUUGGAGGAAGUUCAAAUUCAACUUGAAAACGCAUGUGCCAAAAAGAAACAUUAUAGGUCAUUUUGGCCCAAUACCAUUGAACAAGUGAUUUUCCUCAACUUCUAAAAUGCAUAACUCCUUCAUGCAAAAUCCAAAUGAGGUCAAAUUUGUGACUAAAUUGAAUAGGUUUGAAAGAGCUACAACUUUCAUUAAAGAACGCUUCUCAUUUGAAGUCCAUAGAAAAAGUUAUUCAAGGUGGAAAAAGUGAACAUUUGACUUGGGACUUAGAAAAUUUUCAAAUAUGUUUGAUUUCCCAAACAUCCAACUAAAAAUUCAUCAUGAUACAAGCUUCAAAUGAAAAAGCGUUCAACAUCAAAGUUGUUCCCCUUGAUCUCACCUUUUCAAAACGUCCAAGUUCACCUCAUUUGGCCAAAGUAACAACGGACUUGCGCAUGGGUGCAAGUUGAAGGACCAUUUGGAUGUUUUCCAAUUCCAUUUUUCAUACACAAUUGCAUGGCCUUCCAACUUGAAUUCAACAUGAUGCACACUCAUUUUUGGAUCAGAACACAUCAUGUCAUGGGCCUAGCACAUUACAUCAUCCUACACAUAUAUCAGCCUCCAUGAGUCCCAAAAGUCAACAGAAUGCCAAGCUAGCAACAUGGUUCAUGGUGGUUGACCAGAGAAAGUCAACUAGUCAAAUUUGGGGUUGCAUAGUCCCUAUCUCCCUCAAUUUUUGUCAUAUGAAAAUGAUUCCAAAAGAAACGUUACUCAAAAUGACAUUCCAAAAAACUUUAAUGUUAAAAUAUAGAGGUGGUUUUGCUUGGAAAGUCAUUUUUUAUGGUGAAAGACUAUAGGUCAUUUUUUCUGAACCCUAGUUUGGAGGUCAACUUCCCAAGGUGAUAACUUGCUCAAUUUUUAUGAGAUGAAAUCCAUUAAAUUCUAAUGAUCAAAUUCAAUACGUUUACUUCAACUUUUAAGUUUGGAGGAAGUU
RNAcentral lists this long non-coding RNA (3193 nucleotides) under Lathyrus oleraceus (garden pea). RNAcentral's name for it is "Pisum sativum (pea) long non-coding RNA (PSAT_LNC040942)". Lineage: Eukaryota; Viridiplantae; Streptophyta; Magnoliopsida; Fabales; Fabaceae. The record is from RNAcentral.